AACAAACCCUCCAGCGGCCAGCCAAUCUCUCUCCUUGCUCAUCCUGCACAUUUAGAAAUACAUGCAGGGCUGAGUAUAAAAUACUCAGUGGACAUAAGCCGAAAAUAAACAAUCUCGCUCUUAGAGCUAUAAAUUUAACUUGCCAUUUAUGCUUUACACAGGGGUUUUACUCAAAAGAACCCGUGUAAGCAAUUGAUAAAUUAUAAGCAUCAUAAACAAUGAAUGAUAGACUGCAGUAAAAAAUACUCAGCAUGUAGUACCACUUCUACAACUCAUCAUCAUCAAGGUACUGAGAAGUAGGCCUCAUUCUCAAGCACUGUAACCGGCCGAUUCGACAGUCGGCUCACAGUCAUUUCUGACCGGCCAACCCGGUAUACAGCUCACGGUUACCUCUGUGUACACAAUCCUACUUUUUGCAGGACCCGAAUUCGUCUCAUCCGUAGAGGGUAACGUACAGGCUCGUCGUCAUCAAAACUCGGCAAGUUAAUUAGUUCAAACAUCAAUUUAUCUCAAAUCAUUUUUAAAACUCAUAAACAUCAUCAUAAUCAUCAUUUAGAAAGCCAAUAAUAGGGGUAUUAGAAAGUAAUGCCCACCUGGAAAUCCUAACUUUAGCUCUGGUGCUUUGGAGUGAUCUCACUUAUGCCCUCGACUCGUAU
RNAcentral lists this long non-coding RNA (656 nucleotides) under Salvia miltiorrhiza (redroot sage). Its description in RNAcentral is "long non-coding RNA (SMIL_LNC012249)". Lineage: Eukaryota; Viridiplantae; Streptophyta; Magnoliopsida; Lamiales; Lamiaceae. The record is from RNAcentral.